Molecule: RNA transcript, 5427 nt
Organism: Haliaeetus leucocephalus (bald eagle)
Lineage: Eukaryota; Metazoa; Chordata; Aves; Accipitriformes; Accipitridae
Gene: AVL9
Gene name: AVL9 homolog (S. cerevisiase)
Exons: 17
Source: RefSeq, a predicted model, not a curated record
GAAGCGCAGGCGGUCGGGGCUGCCUCCCUAUCAGACCCUCGGCGGCGGGAGGCGGGGCGAGAGCCGGGGCCCGGCGGCAUCCUCCCCAGCGGCCAUCACCGGGGCUCCAUGGAGAAGCGGGGCGCGCCGCUGGCCCCCGCCCCGCGGGGCCCAGUGCUGCACAUCGUGGUGGUGGGCUUCCACCACAAGAAAGGCUGCCAGGUUGAAUUUUCCUAUCCUCCCCUAAAGCCUGGAGAAGGACAUGACAGCCACAGUUUACCAGAGGAAUGGAAAUACUUGCCAUUUCUCGCCUUACCAGAUGGUGCUCACAACUAUCAGGAAGAUACUGUGUUUUUCCAUUUGCCACCGAGAUAUGGGGAUCGAACCACAGUAUAUGGCGUCUCUUGCUAUAGGCAGAUUGAAGCGAAGGCAUUAAAAGUACGGCAAGCAGACAUCACCCGAGAAACAGUACAGAAAAGUGUCUGUGUUCUCAGUCAGCUGCCUUUGUAUGGGUUACUUCAGGCAAAGCUGCAACUCAUUACACAUGCAUAUUUUGAAGAAAAAGACUUCACGCAAAUUUCAAUUCUAAAGGAACUUUAUGAUCAUAUGAAUAGUUCCUUGGGCAGUACUUUGCUAGAAGGGUCACAAGCUUAUCUGGGGCUGUCUCCUCGGGAUCUUGUUUUUCACUUUAGACACAAGGUCUUGAUCAUUUUUAAAUUGAUUCUUCUAGAGAAAAAGGUGCUGUUUUAUAUUUCUCCAGUAAAUAGGUUGGUGGGAGCUCUGAUGACUGUCCUGUCACUCUUUCCUGGUAUGAUUGAACAUGGUCUUACUGACUGCUCACAGUAUAGACCAAGAAAGAGCAUAUCGGAAGAUGCUGGGUUGCAGGAAAAUACACCAUGGUUAGAUGACUAUGUUUCUGUGUCUGCUGCUGAUAAUUCAAAUACAAACUUAGGAAUGGGAAAGGGAGGCAGGAAGAUGGCAGGAAACCAUUCCCUGGAAGGUCAAAAAGCAAACGUGCCUUUCUCCCAGUCAGAGAAGACUUGCAAUGGAGCUCAGUCCUCCAAUGGUACUGUGCAGCGCUUGAAAGUUCCUUCCCGCACUUCUCCAACAUCCUCUGAAAGUGACUGGGAGACCUUAGAUCCUAGCAUUUUGGAGGAGUCUAAUUUGAGAAAAGGAGAACAUGAAAAUACAGCAUCAGAACAGGCUGAAAAUCUUCCAAGCAAAGGCAUGAGCUCAGAAAGCCUUCCAAUCACUGUGCAGCCCCAAGCAAAUACAGGACACACGGUGCUUGUUCCAGGACUGGUAUCUGGGUUGGAAGAGGACCAGUAUGGUAUGCCGUUGGCUAUUUUUACAAAGGGGUACCUUUGUUUGCCAUACAUGGCACUGCAGCAGCAUCAUCUCCUGUCAGAUGUAACAGUCCGUGGCUUUGUUGCGGGAGCCACCAAUAUCUUGUUCCGUCAGCAGAAACAUCUGAGUGAUGCAAUUGUGGAAAUAGAAGACGCUCAUGUACAAAUCCAUGAUCCAGAACUCCGUAAGAUCCUGAACCCAACAACUGCUGACCUAAGAUUUGCAGAUUACUUGGUGAAGCAUGUAACUGAGAACAGAGAUGAUGUUUUCCUUGAUGGCACUGGAUGGGAAGGAGGAGAUGAGUGGAUCAGGGCUCAGUUCAGUGCUUAUCUUCAUGCACUGCUUGCUGCUGUGCUGCAACCAGACAACGAAAAGACUUUGUCAGACUUUGGAACAGCAUUUGUAGCAGCCUGGAAAAAUACCCACAACUACAGAGUAUGGAAUAGCAACAAGCAUUCAGCUCUUGCAGAGGUAAAUUCUAGCCACCCAUUCCAGGGACAGUACUCUGUAUCAGAUGUUAAGUUAAGAUUGUCACACUCUGUGCAAAACAGUGAACGUGGAAAGAAGAUUGGAAAUGUGAUGGUUUCUACUAGCAGAAAUGUUGUACAAACAGGAAAAGCUGUAGGUCAAUCAGUUGGAGGAGCCUUCACAAGUGCGAAAUCAGCUAUGUCAUCGUGGUUUUCCACUUUUACGCAGUCAACCCAAAGCCUCGGGGACUAAACAAUGGUUUUGCACAAUGCUGCUGAAUAUUUCAGUUGCAAUGCUUUCUCUGAGCUGUAAAAAGAACACUCCAAAACAUAGGAGUGUAGACUAAUUACCAAGGACCAAAGCAAGAUUGAUCUGGGGAAAAGCAGAAUGAGGUGCCCUCUGCAGUGCUAAGCUGAUACACAGCUGCUUGCUGCUUUGUACAGGGACUCUGUUACGAUACUUCACAGUAUUUCUUUUAUGGGCAAGAAGACCAGACAGAUCUUUCUCUGCAGUCUUUUUCCCACUGUCCCAGCUGUCUCUGUGGUUGGGCCAAACAUACAACCUGAUUAAGAGUAUUUUUCUUAAUUUACAAAUGAUAGAAUAAGAAACUUGUAUUCAUUUUCAAUCUUUUUAAGAACUGACAUGCUGCUAGCAGGUUGGACUGUGAUUUAAACUCAUACAGUGAUUAAGACUCAUGCAGUGGCUGGAGAUGAAGUGAUCUUCAUAAUACGUGUUUUCAUUAACAUGUAUGUUUGCUCUUUGACAUUUGCUUAAACUUAAUUUUGGGCUGUAGGAAGGCAUGCAGCCACUGUGGUUCAUCUAAGCUCAUGUAGUCCUCUUCUUAAUUUAAUGCUUGUAACCUCUUUAGUUAAAUCCAAUGCAAAUGCAAGUUAUUUUCCUCCCCUCUGUUUUAAAAUUUCCAGUGCAAGCAUUAUUACUUAUUCAGAAAGGUUUAGGCAGUUGACUUCUAUUUCAAAGACCCUGACAUCCAUUUCUGCACGGCAAGAAACAGAGUCCUAAAUGAAUUGGUGAUAAUGUCUCUGAGUCAACUGUGAAGCUAUUGUUACAGCUCUGUUGUGAUGUAUGUUGCAGAGGUAUGUCUGGCUGUCAAUGUGCAGCAUGAACUGACUUACAGGUAAUACAACAGCACACCUCUCAACUUUCUGGCAUCAAAGACAUCAACCUCUGCUUUUUGUAUGUGCCAGCAUUUGAGGAACUGUCUAUUGAGCAUAUAAGUCCCCAAAACCUCACAAGACUAAGUAUCAUUGACCUAAUAUUUCAUUUGGCUAAAAUGUUCAGCAUUUUUCAUCAAUCAUUUUUGUGUCAUAACCUCAAUUCCUGUGCAUAUCUGACACCAGUUUCCUCAAAUAUUGCAAUGUAAUUAUCAUUUUUUAGAUCAGUGUCCUAGUACAUUGCACUUGUUUAACCUUGUACAUCUGUUUUAAGCAUCUUUGUAAUUAGUAUUUUGCCUAAACAAGCUUCUGAUUUCCGUAGAAAUUAUUACUAAGCAGAGAAACUAGUGUGAUAGGAUUUAACUAAAAGUGAAGGCGUGAAUGCAGGUUUUUAAAUAUAGAAACUGUUGCUUGAUAAUUGAACAUGCAAGUAAUGUAUUUGAUUUUUCUUGUGCUGCUUGAAAAAUAGAUACAUCCAGCCUGUUUAAAGUUCUGUCUGCUCAAAAAGCUGUAUUAUUUUAAGAAACUAAUCUCAUCAGAAGACAUUUGCAAUGUCUGGGUUUGAUAUUGAUAGCUGCUUGCAAUACACUGGCAGUCUUUUUGAAAUUUGUCUUCCAUUUAAACUGAUUGUGGAUGCUGCUUUUUGCAAAUUUAGGACAAGAGGGUCCUCUAGUGUGACUUUAUUCCCUAUUGGGUACUGCUCACUGUGAAUUGAUUAAAGUCUUCAGUAGCUCACAGACCUUGUAUCAGUAAGAACUUUUAAGUGCGACUGUAAAAUUUUGAUGUAGAUAUAACUUCAAAAUAGUAUGUAGUUCAUGUGGAUUGUGACAUUUAGUCAAAAUCAGGAUGCUGAGUAAAUUAAUUGCUGCACAUCCAGUUCUCUGCCAUAGUGAGCUAUUUUAAAACUUGAAAACUUCCACUGUAACUGUCACUGUACCUAGCUGAGAAUGAUUUGGUGAACUGCUGUUUCCAGUAGGAAGAAACUAACUGCCUUGAAUAACAUUCAGAUGUGAAUUACGUGAAACUUAUGUCUAGAAAACGGUUGCAAUUCUCUAAAACUUUUUAAAAUUUUUCCGACCAUAUGCAAGUAGUUGUGCAAACAUGCUGAAAGAUAAAUUUACAUCAUGUUGUUUAUGCAGUGUAAUUUUACUUUCUUGCAGGUAUUUAGUUUUCAUUAAAAAGGGCAACAUGCAGAGUACUCAUUAAAGGCAGCAACACUACGCUAUUGUACUAUGAUUAAAAAGGUAUGACAAGUUGCUUCAUGGUGUUUUGAGUCUUUAAUACUAUAGUAGAGGAGAAACUGACUUAAAAAAGCAGGCACAGAGCUUUAGUUCUGUGAUGUUUCAGGUCUUGACCCCAUUCUUUAUCAAACAUCAGAAGUAGUGUUUGGAUUCAUAAAAAAAAAUAUGGAGAUGGGUCACUUCUGUCAGUUAAAUAGUGAGCCUUACUCAGAUUACUGUAUUUCCUGUAAACUGACAUCAUAUGUGCAUACUGUGUGUACACAGGUGGCUUAAUCUCAGUUGUGAUGGAACUUGGAAGUCUAGCUGUCUUCUUGAGUCUAUAUAGGCUCAAAAUUGCCUAAUCAUACAUUGCUCCUCAUGUAAUACUAUUCCAAAAUCAACUGACAGAAAGUUGUUACUUCCCUGCCUGAAUUUACUAAUACUGAUGAAAGCAUAAUUACUAUUUGCCUCAAUAGUAGCAGAGAACAUCUAUAAAAUAUUCUUUUCUUGUCUUAAUCUAGAUCACCAAGAAAGUAGCACUGCUUUCUAGAUCAGGUGAGCAUAAAGAAAAUCAAAUAAGAAUGUUUAGACUGAAUGAAGAACAGUUAUCUAAAGUGAAGGCAGAUACAGAGGUAUUUUGUUGUCUGAAAAACAAUAUGGGGAAUAACAUCACUUGCAUACUAUAUGAAACAGCUGGAAAAUACUGAAGAAGCCAACUCAAUUGGUGUCUCACCUCUGAAUUCAGAGAACUUAUGAAAUGCACACAGAAACAGAGUGGAGAAUUUAAAAGUUCAGGCAUACCAGAAAGCGGCAAAAAAAUAAUGCUGAGCUUAAUGUAUUGCCUAAUAUGACCUGUGAUUACUGACCUUUGCUGCUCUAAAUGAAUUGUGUGUAUAUGUAUUUUGACAUGUGUAAUGCUGUGACAAAGACCUGGCUGAAGAGUAUGUCUGCUCUUAAAUUGUGGAAAUUGUUUCUUAAUUUUCUUCUCUUCAAUAAAAACGUGUUCAAUUAACUAGCCAUACCUCUUGCACUUUCUAAAUAAAAUCUCAGCAUCAAGAUUUAGCCUCAUGUUUAGCACAUAAUCUGAAUAGACUGUAAGGUCUAUGUUACAUCACUACCUUUUUAGUACCUGUUAUUGUCCUGUUUACUGGCUGUUAGGUCAUAUUAAUGCAGUAGAGUGCAUGUAUGUAUUCAGUACAGUUUACUAUUUUAAGAGAUGAAGUCAUGAAAUGCCUCAGGUG